GAGAGCACAUGUGACAAACUGACACUGAGAGCCCAGGACAAACAAUCAACCUGCACACGGGUGGGUCCCCAGCCAACCAGAAUGGAGUAUCAGACUGGGAAUAAAUUGUCUGAACAAUAAUCGUCUGUCUGAAGUUGAAGGGAGCUUGCCAUGUAAACCCAAGGAUUCUGGGGCACUUCUGUUUGGGAGGAUUUACACUGUGCAUCUCCUGUAGAAAACUGUCUCCUCUGAACUGGCCCUUCAUCACCUAACUGCCGACGGUUGUUGCAGGUGAUUCUGGAGGAGUGCUCUCCCAUAGAAGUGCCUACAGAUGGUGCCCGUGGACUGAAUGCACCGACUCACCCUGCGGGCGUGUGGCACGACAUGGUGCGACAUGGGGCAGAGACCCGACUGCUCUGGAAUUUCCUUGCCACCUUCUUUUUCUGCCUCUUGAAGAUGAGCUCUUCCACUGCCCUGUUCCAGCCUUCCUACACUUCACCAUCUACGAGCACAGAAGCUGGGCAGCCAGUUCACCGAGCACCUUAAAUGUGAAUUUUAUUUAGGCCUAGCCCUUUUGAAAGCACUGAAGUAAUGGAAAUUCUCUUAGGUGAGCUUUUUCUGUGUUCUGUCUAUUGUGACCUCUCACUCUGUUGCUGGUGAUUAUUGAAUUAAUUCUCAAAUCACGGUGCAAGAAGAUGUACAAUCCACUUCUUGCUUAAACUCAACUGCCAACUAAGUACAAGUUGGGUUUUGUCUAAUUCAUUUAGUUUUACAACUUCUGCCACCUUCCCAACCAAACAGGAGUUUGAAUGGCAAUGUAUCAUUAGUGAAAUAAAAUAUCUGCUGUGCUAUUUGGGCCUAAGUCA
This 845-nucleotide long non-coding RNA is filed under the name Calidris pugnax (ruff). RNAcentral describes it as "lncRNA (ENSCPUG00000012284.1)". The record is from RNAcentral. Lineage: Eukaryota; Metazoa; Chordata; Aves; Charadriiformes; Scolopacidae.